CGCGGGGUGGAGCAGCCUGGUGCUCGUCGGGCUCAUAACCCGAAGGUCGUCGGUUCAAAUCCGGCCCCCGCAACCA
RNAcentral lists this transfer RNA (76 nucleotides) under Serratia marcescens. RNAcentral's name for it is "tRNA-Met(cat)". It matches the Rfam family "tRNA". Rfam says of the family: Transfer RNA (tRNA) molecules are approximately 80 nucleotides in length. Their secondary structure includes four short double-helical elements and three loops (D, anti-codon, and T loops). RNAcentral also lists the same sequence under 1 other name. The record is from RNAcentral. Lineage: Bacteria; Pseudomonadati; Pseudomonadota; Gammaproteobacteria; Enterobacterales; Yersiniaceae.